ACUGCGCGGCACCGGGACGCCCGCCCGGCUUCCCGCUCCCCGCCCUGGCCCGCGCCCCUCUCCCUCCUAGGAGCUGGAGACCUGCAGGCAGGGGCAGGGGACCCGGUCCUCUGCAGAACCCGAGCUCAGGGUUGCGUUAGACCCACUCCGGGGCGCACGGUCUUCAGCGGAGGGACGGCGGGGUGCGAAGGACCGAGGCGCCCCUGCUCGGGUGGCAGCCGAUCGCCGCCUCCCGCAUCCCCCGGCUGCCUCCCCCGUCCGGUCCUACCCUCCUCCCUGCCCGCGAAGGGAGAACAAUAACCCGAGCGCGCCUGGGAAGCGGAGACACUGGGAGGCGGGCAGACAAUGCGAGGGAGUUGCGAGGGGGCAGCCCCAGCGCACCGCGCGUUCUCGCUGUGUCCCAGCCGCGCCCGAGGGCUUGGCCUGGGGCAAGCGGGCCGCGGGGGCGCAGUAAGAGGCUACGUGGAAGAUAAUUUAGGUCUCUUGAAAUCUAAAAUCUCACAGCGUCUGUUCAAGGCCGGGGAGAAUUUCCUCCAGUCUAGAUAGAACAUCAGCAGUUGGUUAAAAUACACACAGACAUGUGUGUAUUUGGGUCCUUUUCUAUUUUGGAUCUGAAUCUCUAAAGUCACUUUUGGAAUUUCCAUAAGCCUGUCUUUUUGUAAACAGAUUUUUCUGGGAUUCCCCCACCCCGACUCCUGUCUUGCGCUGCUUGUUCUUCCAGCUUGACCCUGUCCAGGUAUCCCUCCCUCUCUCCCUCCCUCCUUCUUUUCCUCCUUCCCUCUCUCCCUACACACAUACAUUUGCCCCAGUUUGCACCUUUUUUUUUUUUUUUUUUUUUUUUGGUGCUGCAAUUCUUUCUCCCUUUUGAUUGGCGCUUUCUUUGGGUUCUUCUGCCCUUUUCGAAGUGCUGGUUUUAUUUCCAUCCCUCUCAUAAUUUGUUUUCUCCAAUUCAUUUCCUCUUUUUUUUUUUUGUCACAAGUAACUGUAUCUGCAUGAUUUUUUCUUCCUACUGCCAUAAGUUCUGUUCCCUUAAGGGCUCAAGCGUUCCUGGGGUAGGGAGGGGACAAGAGAAUUUCAUUGCAUUUUAUCUGAGGGAAAUAAUGUGUUGUAGUUCCACUUUCAGGGAGUCGGGGAUACUGGGAUUUUAUACUUACAUAUGGGUCAAACCGUCUUAGCUGAAUAAAUCACAAACCUCUGUAAUAUCUAGGGUGCUUGGGUGCUUGCUUACAAUAAAAAAGGCAUGCAGGAAAAGCGGCGGUGGGGGGGGAAGUAUUUUCAAAUUAGGUCUCUAAAUAGGGAUUUUACAACAUCCGUUUAUUAUUAUUAUCAUAUUAUUAUUAUUUAGAAAUGGGAUCUCACCAUGUUGCUCAGGCCGGUCUCCAACACCUGGCCUUAAGGGAGCCUCCCAACUUGGCCUCCCAAAAGUGCUGGUAUUACAGGUGUGAGCCAGCAUGCCACCCUCCACUUAUCUUAAAGUAAAAUUUUGAUUAUAUAGUAUGUGAAAGAGACUGGCAUCUUUCAUUCACCCAUGAAGUGCCAUCUCCUUGGUCUCAUUUUUUUGCAUUUGUCCUCAUCUGCGGAAUGUCUGGCCACUUUGCUGUUUCCUCUGGGUGUGGUUUAGAGUACAAAGUACAACCCUUUAUCAACCAAGCAAAUCAGAAAUAGCUCCUAGAUGUGGGACGUGAGAAAAAAAUCAGGCAAAAGAAUGGUUAACAUUUUAACAAAAAGCAUGCUGUUUGUGGCUGAAAUAUUUGGAGGUAAGAAGGUGUGUGAGUGGUCCCAGGGUGAGGGGGCGAGGUAGGAGUGGGGGUUGUGCAAUUAUGAUAAAUAUCUAGGAGGCAGUUCUCUUUGCCAGGGCUGACCCCCAGGUUGGGCGGGGCCUGGACAUAGCACAGAUCACGUUUCUCCGCAAGUGAUACCAGAUAGAAAUGAAUGUGGUGCAGCCAUGACAGAAAAACCUACAACCAGUGGCAGCAAUGACAACAUGCAGAGAUGAGGAAGAGUUGUCCAGCUGAGGAGAGAGAAGUGCAGGUGCACAACCAAAUUUUCAGGAAUUUGGAAAUGUGUCAUGAGCACACAAAAGACACUGGAUUUAAACAAAUGUGAGUUAUCAUAUGGUGUGGACUAAAACCAUGUGAAACCAAGAGCAAUAGCAUUAAGAUGGAUGAUGAGGAGCAAGGGAAAAUGGAAAUGGCGAGACUGUGGCCAGUGUUAGGCCGACAUUGCAGCAGAUCUACAUUCCGCCGUGAGAACAGACAUGGGGACAAAAGCCCAGACCUGGUUGGAACUCCAAUAUGGUGCUGGUAGCCAGCUGUGACCAAGAAGAGGACAACCGGAGCAACAAUCUUAGACACAAGGAUGGAAGCUGUAAGGCAGGGGAGGAGUUCCAGGGUCCCUGGAGAACUUCAUGGAGCUGAGGACGUCCUUCCUGUUUUGUAGUGUUGCAUGAGAGAGGAAUAACAUUCUAUAUUAUUUGGCUGGGCGCGGUGGCUCAUGCCUGUAAUCCCAGCACUUUGGGAGGCCGAGGUGGGCGGAUCAACUGAGGUCAGGAGUUCAAGACUAGCCUGGCCAACAUGGCAAAACCCCGUCUCUACUAAAAAAUACAAAAAUUAGCCGAGCGUGGUAGAGCAUGCCUGUAAUCCCAGCUACGCAGGAGGCUGAGGCAGGAGAAUCACUUGAACCCUGGAGGCAGAGGUUGCAGUGAGCCGAGAUAGUGCCACUGCACUCCAGCCUGGGUGACAGAAUGAGACUCUCAAAAAAAAAAAAAACACCUGUAUUAGUUAAGCCCUGUCAUAUCGGAUCUUUUUGUCACAGCAGCUAGUUUAUGCUGUAGCUAAACCACUGCGCUUCUGUCUUGUUCUGAUAAUCUAGGUCUCCACCUACCCAUAAAUCCCCCCUACAGCCUGUGCCUGGGUCCUGGUAUCCUGCUGACCUACAAAUAUCUUCCUGGAUUCCUGAAUAUCACCACCUCCAGGAUUAUUGAGCCCCACGCUCUGUCUGUUGGGACACUUCCACUACUCUGUGUGGAGCUGCCUUAUGCAGACUGCUGGCACUACCAGAGUUUGCCUGCCACCACACCCUUCAGAUUGUCAGGCUCUAGCUUCGCUGUCCCUUCAGCUGGCUUUGUCUCCCUGGAGUCUCCCCACUCCAGAUAGAAAGUUGGCCUUGAGGCCCUAACUCUUUCUUGUCCAUCCUGUCCUGCAGCAAUUAACUAGGCCCCUCCUGGCUAUGUCCUGAGUUAUAUAGGGAAAGGUUUGCCUGGCUCCUCACAGGAAGCAUACCAUGGAAGUACAAAUCCCUACCCCCAAUACCUUCCCUGGCUUACCCUGAAGCUGAGUAGAAUUUCUGCUCGCAGUGUCAAACCAGCUGGUGACUAUAUAGGGCUUUUUCAAUAGAGAUACAUUUCAUUCUUUGCUAGCUUACACUUAUGUUUGUUUUCCUUCCUGCAACUUUACGGCGGACAUCAGAUACUGAUGUUUGCCUGAGGAUGUGUACUGCUUCAGGAACACAAAUUUCACAUUUGGAAUGUGCACAAGUCUAACUUCAGGUUAACAAUCACCUGUGCUCAUAGUAAGAAAUGCUUUUGAUUAACACCGGGGUGUGGAACAAAACUCAUCUGGAAUCCUAGAUUAGGCAACUACUAUUUAUUUAUGCAAAACAGUAAAGUCAUUAGAGCCCCCAUUCCUGGUAAUUGUCUCAGAAAAUGCAUUCCCUGGCCUCACAAUUCGUUUUAUACAAAGCAAGAAGUUAUUUGGGUUAAUAACCUUGAGUUUUAAUGACUCAAUCAAUAUUUUGGUUUCUGCAGGCUGCUUUGCUACUGUAAAUUUUGAGUACAGUGCUUGUGGAGUAUAUAAAUAUUUAGCUAGUCAUUGAAGCAUCAGUUAAUGAAAUAAUUUAAUCUUUUCUUUAAUUUAGAAAAUACUGUUGGCAAUGAACUGGUAUGAGGUGUUUAUUUCAGCUGCUCUCAUAGACUGGGAAACCAAAUUGCUGCUGUGCUGUAUGGUUUAUUACUUUGUCACAUUGCAAAUCCAUACUGCAAGUAUCUCUUUUAGAUUAAUCUCCUUCAAAUAGAUCUUGAAUAACCUAGUCACUUGCCUCAGAUGGUUUUAUCCUGAUUUUAAAUUUACAACCAUGCUUCUCUGUCUGUUUUAAGAUUUGCAGUAUUGUGUGUUUGUGUGUGCAGUAAAUUUACACAUGUACUAGGAAUCACAACCAGGACUGAUUACAGAUUUCUUCCUUUUAGAAUGUGAUGACUUUGAAAAAGAAAAACCUAUAUAUUCAGAGUUCAAAUACCAAAUAUAGCUUUCAAAUACCAAAAUGGCCAUGUGAAGCUUUCUUUCAACUGGUUAUUUUGUCUGAAUCAAAGCUUCCAAAAAUGUGUUCCUCGGCAUACAUAUUCUUGGGAUGCUAAAAGGAUUCUACUUUGUUUCUGUUUGGAAAUUCAAAUGAAAACAAAAAAGAUUAUACAAUCCAGUUAUUAGUCUCUUCACUAGCCACAGGGAAUCUUGAGGUUGAAGGAUUGUACAUACUUAGUCCUUUAUUUUUCAAGCUGAAUUAUUAGGAGGGAUUGUCUUGGUCUGUUUUGUGCUGCUUGAACAGAAUACCACAUACUAGAUAAUUCAUAAUGAACAGAAAUUCAUUGGCUCACCGUUCUGGGGGCUGGGAAGUCCAAGAUAGAGGGGCCAGUGUCUUAUGAGGGCCUUCUUGCUAUGUCAUCCCAUGGCAGAAGGGCAAAGGAGGGUGGGGAACUCAUCCUUGUAUAAGGAAUCCACUCCUGAGAUAACAAAAUUAAUCCAUUCAUAAGGGCAAUGUCCCCAUGACCCAAACAUCUUCCACUAGGCCCCACCUCCCAACACCACUGCAUUGGGGAUCAAGAUUGCAACACUCAAGAACUUUGGGGGACAUAUUCAAAUGAUAGCAGAGCUUUAGCUCUUUAACAGUGACCUAGAAAAUAACUACCAAUGAUUGCAAGUUUUUCUAAUACGUGAUUGGUUGGUGCCAGCUCUUGGUAGUAAAAUUGAAUCAGUAGAAUCAGCAAAUAGUUCCAAAGGUUUUUACUGAAAAAAAAAAGCUCUGACUUUUUAAAUCAGGGACUUUGAAUAUCAACUGAGUAUUAGAUUAUAUUAAGGAACUAUUUCAAUCUUGACGGAUGUGAUAAGGACACCUUAUGUAAGAAGAUCGCCCCAUUGUUAGAUGCAUACUCUGUACAAUAACAUAUGCUGUCUGAAACUUCAUUGAAGAUACUUCAGGAAAAAGAAGUGACUAUAGAUAAAACAAAUAGGACAGAAUAGUAAUGGUUAGUGAUGGCUGGUGAAACUCGGUGAUGAGUCCAAAAUGCUCUUAUAUUCCCCAGUUUUAUUUAUACUCAAUUUUCAUAAUACAAAAUAGAAAAGAGUUCUGUGGUCAAAUAAGCUUUGAGAAACCCUGGUUUUAAUAAAAUUAAUUUAGGCAUUUUUUUUUUUUUUUUACCGUAUGCCUUUUUAUGUAUAUGUAACUGUGUGUGUAAAUCUUUUAAUUUUCUCUUUGAUUAAAAGAAAACUUUUUUUAAAGACUGAUAUUCUGCCAAAUAUGCUAACUAACUCUAGGAAUGACUGCAUUCUACCUAACAACCAGUUUGGAUUGAAUUGCCUGCACUGACCACUACUGGACUGCAUGAUCAAAACAGGUGGCUUAUGCUUUUUUUUUUCCCCAUCUCUCUAUUUCAGUCAUAGGCAGCAGAUCCCUGUGGAUGAGCUUCAACUUCAGGGAGGUCAGCCACUUACUAGCUCUCUAAUCCAGGCGAGUCAUUAAACCUCUCUGCCCCUCAGUUCCUUCAUCUGUAAAAAGGGAUAACAAUAUUACCUACUUCACAGGAUUACCAUAUAGAAUAAAUGAGAUAACACCUGCAAAGCAUUUCACAUCCUUCUUGGAACACGGUAAGUCCUCAAUAAAAUCUGGAAUUAAAGAAUUAAACUCAUUCUUUAAAGGCCAGCUUACAUAAUAUGUGUAAUGGAACUUUCUGAGUUUCCUCUACUCAGGAUUAAUUCCUUUAUCUUCUGCAUUCUGGCAGUUCUAUACCUCUAUAUGUAUGAUUUAAUUGUAAAUGUCUCAAGGAUAGGGACCAUGUCUUAUUCAUCUCAGUAUCACUCCAGCAUUCUAAUACAGGCUAUCAAGCCCCAAUGGAUAAAAAAGAGGGUGGGGGGUCAUCUUGGCAAUUCAGCUUCCUUUAAUCCUUGAAAGACCCAUACAAUACCACUUACCUACCAAUGCACAACCACAUCUAGCUGCAAGAGAGGCUAAGAAAUGUAGUCUUUAUUCUAUACAUUGAAGCAACACCCUAUCUAUCUAUCUAUCUAUCUAUCUAUCUAUCUAUCUAUCUAUCUAAGAUGAAGCCAAAGGAUCAAGACUAGUUCUGUAAAGAGUACAUUGCCUGCUUUCAGUGACUCUUUCUGCCUUUAAUAUACUGAUUUCGGGAUAAGAAAACAACAGCUUCCUGAUAUUAUAAAUAUCGUUGAGCUUUUGUCAUACUAGGAAAUACCUUUGUAUUGACACACUCAAAUACUAUUCAGAAAAAAAGCCUUCAAAUCCAGAAAAGAAAUAACAUAAGUGCCUCUGUAGCAGUAACGUCCCCACUGAGGCACAGCAAGCUCAAACACUGAGCAUUUUGACAGGAAAACACGCAGAUAUUUACUUUGGCAACAGAUAGAUUUCACAGUUAUUACUUCCCAGGUCUAAGCUAUAUAGUCAUACGUCUUCCAAAAGAACACACAGACAGCAAUAUAAAACCCUGGCUUUAAUCAAAUUAUACCUGUUUCUUUAGUGUGAGCAAAGCUCUCUGCCAAUACAUAAGCAUCUUUUCAUUUGGUUUGCCUGAUGUGGCAUAUGAGUGAGAAAUCAGGUUAAUCCAGUAGUGAGGACAUACCAAUAACAGAGACCUGAUCUCAAUAAGCUUUUGGCAGGGAAAGCUUUAUAGCGUAUCUGUUCCUUUCUAGUUGAGGUAGAAAGGAGUUCAUACAACCAAGAGUGCAGAGCUCUUCAGUUCUCAUGGGAAUGGCUAACUGAUUCAUGGUGCAUAACAAAAAAUCUGCAGAUGACCUAAACCAUCAUACUGACUGUCAGAUUACAUUUUCUUCUUUGAUAAUAUUUUACCCAAAUGACUAACAAGUAUACACAAUGACUACUUGUGUAUUUUUCCUUUGUCUCACUUCCCUUAUCACUUAGGACAUUUCUUCUUAUUGAAAUUAAUCAACAAAUAUUAAUAGAGACAUUUAAUUAACAGUAAUUGAAGCAUUUGCUGUGCAAUGUAAGAAACACAAACUAUAUAAAGGCACUGCCCUCACUGAAUUUAGUUUACAAUUCAAUUGAUUUUAUUUGGAGUUUUUGUUCAUUUUUUAACCCAAAUUGUGGCAUAUUAUAUAACUACUGUGUACCUUGCUUUUUUUCACCUAAUGCCUCUUGGAAAGGGUUUCAUAUUAUUAUAGAAAUAUGGAAUACAUGGGACUAUGGGAUAUUCCUACGACAAGAGUAUAAAAUAUUCCAUAUAUAGGAGUAUGGAAAAUUCCAUUUACAGAAAUGUGGAAUUCAAAAGAAUAGAACUGCCUUAUUAGCCUUUUUAAACAGCUACAUAAUAUUUCAUUGUAUGAAAAUAACAUAAUUUACUUAAGUCCUUAAAUAAUGCACAUUAAAUCUUUUGCUGUUACAAAUAACGCCGCAAUGAAUAACUUUGUACAUUCGCUACUUCCCAC
Molecule: long non-coding RNA, 7724 nt
Filed under: Homo sapiens (human)
Lineage: Eukaryota; Metazoa; Chordata; Mammalia; Primates; Hominidae
Description: non-protein coding lnc-AFTPH-5:3
Source: RNAcentral